ACAGAUAUUUGAUCACCCCCAUUCCAAGUCAAUAGAAAGUCAAAAUUCUGGAGGAAGGAUGCCAUGAAAUUGACCAUUGGAACAGGAAGGGCUACAUACACUUCUACCUUAACAGGUGUAGUAAGCAAAAUCAUACGAAAAGAAAAGGGGGGAUAUGAAAUAACCAUAGUGGAUGCAUCGGAUGGACGUCAAGUGGUUGAUAUUCUCCCGGAAGGACCAGAACUUCUUGUUUCAGAAGGGGAAUCUAUCAAACUUGAUCACUUCCUCUUCGUCGGUUUGCCCGAGCAGAGAGUUCUAGUGAUGCGCCGUCUACUCGUUCUUACUUCAACGAUUGGGAGGAUUUUCUUCAACACGGGCGGAUCGUAGUUCCAUCGAACAUGUCUCGCCAGAAGGCAUCUAUGUUGAAAUCCAGCAGCUGUUAUUUUCUUCUUUUCCGGAAGGACUUCAGAUAAAUUGAAGGAAUUAGCCGGGGAUACAGUCGAUCAAAGUUUGGGGAGGUGACGCUCACUGUUUGUCUUUCCUUGGUGGGAAAUUUUUUGAAAAAAGCCAUGAAGUUGAUUGUUCUCUUGCUUAAUUCUACUCUUUAAACCUUGUAGCAUAUUUCCCAAAAGAUCAUGCAAAUUGACCUACCAUUCUGCACCGCUACAUUCUUUCAAUGUCUGAAAUAUAUUCUUCAAACCAUAUUCUCCUACUUAAUUCUAUUAUUUAAACCUUGUAGCAUAUUUCAGAGAAGAUGAAAAAAAUAAAUGACAUUCAAUUUUCCUUAAGUAAAUAUUGUCAGAAUGUUUGUAAUCAAUUUGGGAAAACCUUUUUGAGUUUAUUAUCUUCCAAAAACUUUCAGCUCCAAUGUUUAUAGGUCAUAUUCUUUUGACCACUUUCCAGGAAAGUUUCCACCAAAAUCAAUGUAGCCUGAGAUAACCAACUAAUAUAUAAUCCACAAAAACCAUUACUUGUCCCAAGAAUGGAAAACAGAGUGAAUUAUGUUACAACAAAUCCAAUUAAUGGAGGCAUUAGUUAUCCUCCACAAAAUCUCUUUUCAUGUUGGUCAUACCCAAAGACUUAUAUUCUACAAAGCUCUCUUAGUUUCUACUGUUGUUGUGUUAUAUCCUCCCCACAAUCUGCACCCUUGGGGAACUCUCUUCACCGAAUCCACAACUUCAGAACUAAGGUACAACAAUAACAGAUAGAUUCAUAUAAUCAACUAAUCACAAUUGGAUUAAGUCAUAUCAAUUCAUUCAGAUGGAGAUCAUGCGUUACAUUUUCCAAGGCACCAAACAAGAAGAAAUUCCAGAUUUUCAAUAACUUUCUAUUGACUUGUUCCAACUACAAAUAACUUCUGGCUUUGUGAUAAAAAUCUAUUUUCUAAAUAAAUUCCUAAAAUAAACCAAUAUCAGUAAAACAAAAUUACAAUCAAAAUCACAUUAAAAGGAACUGAAGCACACGAAAGACAAAAAAAAAGUUGAAAACUAUGCAGAAAAAAUAAUAAAAGAUAAAUAAAAUACCAUGUUGUGAGCCCGGGUUUGUUCAUGGUGGACUUGAGAAUGCCAGAAGGCUUUGAGCCUAUCGAGAGAAAUCAAGUUGUCCGCCAUUGCUGCUCUGAAGAAGAAGAGAUUUUUUAGACUAGAAGGGGGAUUGGGGUUUAGGGUUUUAUUGUUGAAAGCAAGGCGGAUCCUUUUUCAACUGUAAUUAACACGUGGAAAGAAUCAUUAGGGUGAAACACAUUUAUUAUACCAUUUUCCUUUUUAUUUUCAAAGGGGAAAUAAAUAAAAACCAUUGAAAACCAAUCCAUGAUCCUCUCUGUCCUUUCUUUUCAGCACUUUCAAGAAUCAAGGCCUCUUUUUCGAGCAAAAGCUGAAAGUUUGAACCCUCAAAACAGAAGACUUCGAAAAGAAAAGAAGAACAUGGAAGCCACAGCCGUUUGUAGCAGUAAAGGAAGUCCAUUUCUCUGUUCCUCUAGGAUUACAACAAAGCCCAAAACACAAAUUUCUGCUACUUUCUCACCUUUUCUCAUUCAAUCCAUGGCAACAGAGAAACCAUUGCCUUCGGUUGCCAAAACUGUUGGCUCUAGAAAUGUCAGUCCAUUUUCAAUUCAACCCCAUAUGGAUUUUUGGUAUUACUGUUCAGUGGCUUUUCUCUUGAUGUUUCAAUGUCUUAAUUUGAGUUUCAAAAAGUGAUUGUUUUGCUCACUUUGUUCAGUAAUGCCUCAACAAGUUAUGACUAUUGUCAAACAUCAAUAACAGAGCUUCUAACUUGAUAUGCCAUCGUAAGAAUACAGAGCUCGAACACAACUGUUUUCCCGCUUGGCCAACAAACCAAGGAAUAGCACUGUGGUCAUAUAACCAGUGAAGCUACUGACAAAUGUGGAGAAACUGAAACUGCUAACCAAAGCUGAGAAAGCUGGCCUACUAUAAGCGGCCGAGAAGUUUGGGCUAUCUCUGUCGUCAAUAGAGAAAGUAGGUCUCCUCUCUAAGGCGUUAGAGUUUGGAGUCCUGUCCGCUGCAACAGACCCUGGGACUGCGGAGGCACUCUUGACCUUGAGCUUGGGUUUACUUCUUUUGGGUCCUUCAUGUGUUUACCUUGUGCAUGAGUAUAACCUCUGGGAAGUGAUGUUGCAGGUUGCGGUGGCUCCAGUCUGUAUAGCUGGUGGAUCAGCAGCUUUUGCUUCAUCAAAUCUUGUAUCUAACUUGCAGAAAUCAAACUAAAUUUGGUACCCAACUUGCAGACAUCACCUAAAUGGUUGUGACUUCCGUUUCAUGGACCAAUAAUGAUGAUGGUCAAUUCACUGAAGCUAUCAUUUGAAUGUAAAUGUGCGUAAAAAGGAAAGAUUUUAGGCGAAGGAGAAAAUCAUGAUAAUACCAAAAAUUUGAUCAAAGAAUCCAGAAUACAUUACUUCAAUAAACCACCUUUUUCCUAUGUCAAAUGAGCUUUAUGAGAUGCCUCAAGUGGAGGGCCAAAAAAAAAAAAAAAAGGCAGGAAAAAGAGUUAAAAUGGAAAGAAGAAAAGCCCAAUAGUCUUCUCAUAAAACAGUUGCACUUAAGAAAACAACUUGAAUUCUAGUCCCUUCAUUCCCUUCGUUUAUACUGUCAAAAAAAUCAUCUGGUCACUUUCUCAGCUAAUGUUAAAGAAGAAAUAGAAUCAUGCUUUCGCCCCACCCUGACGGCCACCUCUUCCAUUCUGAUUAAUCCGCUGAUAAUUAUCUCCAUUCCGUCCACCUGAACCCUUAGGUCGUCCUGAAAACUCACCCUGGUUUCUGAAUUCAUUCCUGCCAUAGCCUCCCCGACCACUGCCAAAGUUCCCUCGAGCCCUGAAACUGUCACUCCGAAAGCCACCUUUACCUGAAGUGUACCUUGCUUUCCCACUGCUACCAACUGCAAAAAGAAGCAGCUUUUCAAGUUACACUGCCAACCUUCAAGUACUUUCAACUAGAAAGAAAUAACAAUAACAAAUUAUUGGAGGAAAUGCAUUUAAAAAAGAUCAAAGUUCCACAAAAAGGUUUUUGUUUAUGCCAGCCAGAUAUUUUUCGGACGGCAUUACUUUCAAGUUUCAAGCUUCCAUUCAAAUUAGCUAAAACUAUUAGAUGUAAAUCCCUGAUUAUAUUAAGUUUAGCAAGAAAAUUUGAUAUGAAUAAGGUGAGGAAGAACACCCACCCCAGCCGAACAAAUAUGACAAAGGGUUGAACUACAGCAAACUAAGCCUCUUCCGAGCUAUAUGGGUCAUAUUGCACCACAGUAACCUAUUUGAGACCAUAUCUCCCUUAAGCUCAGUAACUAUGACAAAGGGUUGAACUUAAGCAAACUAAGCCUCUUGUCACUAUGUAUGGGCGGCUAUAUGGGUCAUAUUGCACCAUAGUGACCUAUUUGAGACCAUAUCUUUCCUAAGCUCAGUACCAUCUGUGGAUGAACUAAAAGUUCAAUUCAUGCAAAACAAUAUCAUUAGGAAAAAAAGAAUAAAAUUUCAGCACCUAAAAUGCAUAUUUCCCAUCUAAAUUUUGAAUUACCUCGAGUAUUUGUCCUCUUUUCUUCCACAGCUGCUCGACGAUCCCCAAUUGUGAUUGGUGAAGCCUGAAAUGCAUUCAGCAUAUAAACAAAAAUAUACUUACAGAAACACCGAGGGGAGGCAGAAUGAGAUUAACAAGCCACUCUACAAAUCCUUCUUAGCCUAUUUUAUAGCCAAGAAGAAUAUUUUAAAACCAUCAUACAAUUGGUGACAAAGAAAUAUGGUUGUGCCUUUACCAAGAUAAUUUGAGGUUGAACUAUGCAAAAAGCUGUUAAUAAACAAUUACAUCAUGUUUUGGAUGUAAAAAAAAAAAAGAAUUAAUGCAAUGAUAUUCAACUAAAAUACCUAUAAUCUGUUUAAACAAAAAAGCCCUAGAAGAAAUUGUUUUUUUUUUUUUUUUAAAUUUUCAGUACAACACCCACCUUCCCCCAAAGAAAAAGGAAAAAAGAAACCUUAAGUAGUGAAUCUGAUGCCUACUGAAAUGUGAUAUGUGGAUUAAUUACAAAGUUCAUUUAGGAAGUAUCACCUGAAUUUCAAUUACAUCUCCAAAAUUUCAAUGUAAAAUUGAGGUCUCUGAUUAGCAUCAUAUUAACUUUGCAAUCAGAUGCAGUUGAGAAAAGAGGCAAAAAUUGGAGAAAACAUUGUAAUUAAACCUUUGAUUUAGGACCUUAGAGUAGACUGGGAAAACUCAUUUAUGUGAAUUUUUUAUGGCAUCCAUAAAACAUUAGUUAACAUUUAAUCAGUUUAAGCUUUCAACUUUCCAACUUAAUUCAACAAGGCUGCAAAUUGGUUAAAAACAGAAAAAUGACCUAAUAUAAGGUUAAGGAGAUUAUCUAAAUGUACAAGUACAAGGUCCCUCUUUCAUGUCUAUAUACUGUCCAAAAGUAACAGACGAAGAGAAGGAGACACCAGACCAAGGUGGAUUUAUUAUUUUAGACCAGCUGAUUCAACAAACUACAUAAAAGGUAGAGUUUUCUUGAAGAAAGUUCUAGAUAAAGUCAUCUAAUAAGAUAAUUUUUGAGUGACCCAUAAAAUCAUACCGCAACUUAGAAGACAUUGAUCUAGUUUUGGGUUUUAUUUCUAGUUUCUUAUUUUUGUAUUUUAGUACAAGCUAGGGGAUUGGGGAGGUUUGACAUAAUUGUAAACUUGAAGAGAUCCUAAACCCCAUUAAUGAGUACAUUGCUGUUUCAGUUCACUGUUAGAGUAACAAUAAUUUUUAGAGGAAUAACUUAGCAAAACUUGCCUAACAUAUGGCAUGUGUUUGAUAGACUAUAAUUAUGAAAUGUCAUGUAAGUAAUUGAAUGGAAGGGCGACUUAUGAGUUAUGACAGUGAUCAUACAGCACCAGAUUUAUAACAUGAAUGAUAAAAGAUAUGACCAUACCUCAAGUGCAGUCUGCACUGAACUUGCGGUCUCAAAUUCAACAAAACCAAAAGUGAAUCCCUGCUGCAGGAGGCAAGAAAUCACAAAACAGUAAGAACUGAGAGCUUGAACUAGAAAUGUCAACUAGGAAGGAGAACUCCAAGUUGGUAUCUGAGUUACAACCAUAUUACUUCUAACUUGGAUACCAUCGCGCUUAAUGGGCCCAAAUUUUUUGAAUGCCUCCUCAAGUUGUGCAGGUGUUGCAUUGUAAGGCAAAUUCCGUACAUAUAUGGAGUAUCCUUCAGCUUUGGGAAGACCAAAACAAAUGAGAUUUAUAUUUUAAAACAAGAAAGAAUAUCCAUGAAGACAUAUCAAAGGGAAAAAUACAUAAGACAUAAACAUUAACCAUGCCAAAUCAACUACGCCUUCUUUACACCCUUAAUCGAUAUCUUUAUUAAUUAAAAUAGAAAAGUUAUGGAUCUAACUUCAUUGAUAAAGAUAACAACUGUGAUUCUAUUAUCAUGCAAGUAUGCAGUAAACGAAGUUAGCAACUACCUUCCUCAUUGUCAUUGCUACUUUCAGGUGCAUUGUCACUGUUAGGUAUUGCUGCCUCUGGUGCUGGAGCAGGUUUUGUGGAUACAAUUGACUGUUGGUCUGCAGGUGCUGCCCUCACAUUAUUGGUAGGAACAUAGACUGGAGUAGAUGCUGUAUUACUUUUCAUUACUUUGACCUAAUAUAAUUCAAUAAGCUCAAUCAAACAUCAAAAGAACCACCAAAACAUUAAUAGAAAAAGGAAAAACCAUUAAUGUUAACUCACAAUUGAAGCAUAUGAUUUCUUUGGAGUAUCCUCUGGAGCCACAACAGCUGAAUCAAAGGCCGCUACACUCUCAUUCUGAUCUGCAAUGUUUUGGGGUUCAACAACCUCUUCUUCAAUUACUGACCCUUCCUCCUUAUCUGAGGGGUCACAAACUUCAGCAUCAUUAUCAAUAUCUUCCUCUUCUGGAUAAGUUAAUGGGUUCUCCACAAGAUGGUCAUGAGUCGGCUCUGCCAGCAAACAUUAAUGCAAUUCUAGGAUUUAAGUGUAAAGCAAAUUCAACCAUAAUGCAUAAAAAGAAAAGAAUCAGGCCACACCUGGUGCUGGUGUCAAGGCAGAUGUUGAAGCCUGUUCACUGACGCCAUUAACUGGAACAGAGUUUUGCAACUCUUUCUCUUCAACAUAUCUGAAAACAUCAUUUAAGACAAAGUAGCCUUUGUCUUGUGGAGCUAGAAAGAAAGUUUGUGAGAAUUUCUUUCUCACAUUGUCCUUCCCAGUUAAGCAUCCAGUUACCAGUACAAUGACCCCCUUCUCAUAAGAUUCCUGAGCAUCUGCGGUUUUUAUCUCUGCUGUAUAGUCCUCAUAUUUCAGCGAUAGUACCUUCUCAUUAAUUGCCUGCUCCAAAGCAAAUAUCAGUGCACUCUAACUCAAAGCCAUGUUCAAGCUAAGUUACAGUUAAAAGAAAAUGUCUAUUCAAGUUUAUCAAAUAUAAUAAUUAUUAUAUAAGACAUAAGAGUCUGCAGAAACAAGCACUUGAAAAUAUAUCCAUUACUAAAGUUAAACAUCUGUACCUAAUAGACAAACAAAGUGUGACCCAAGGUUUCAAUUGCUUCAGAUAACUGUGAAAAGUGAACUUCUCAAUAAAAAAAUUACAAAUAUUCUUUGCAAUUAUUCUCAAUAACUUGUUAUCAACUUAGUCUAACUGCUUCAUCUCCUGCACGAAGCAGGAUUCAAGCAGACGAGAAUAACCUAGGUAGAAAAUGAAAGAGGCCAUAUACUUUGAAUUCUUCAAAAUAAUAUAAUCAUGCCCGUUCAUAUUGGAAGCUAUCUUAACUCCUAACAGACUUACUUGCAUGGUUGUUACUGUUGUCAUGUUGCCAUACAUAUCUGGCCGACUUAAACGGCUAGAAUCUUGAUAAAAUCUAUGCACCAGAUUUGGUGAUUGGUGAAGAAUAUGGUAAUACUGCUUUACAAAAGCAUUUCCAACAACUUGAGCACUGGGAGUAUGGGCAGGACUUCCUUCCUGCAUGGCCAUCUGCACAUAGGUUCAAGGAAUCUAUAAAUAACGCUUCAAAGAAAGACAAUCAACUGCACAAUUACAAUGAACAAAAAGGAUCGCUGCUCCAUCUUUCAUGAGAAUAAAAAGAAAACACAAAAGAAAAGCACUUUAUUUACUCAAUAUUUAGAAACAACCCUAAACAUUAAGAGAAACUAUCAAAAAAAUGUUUGCAUAAAAAAUUAGUCAAAAGCUCAAGAAACAAAAUACGAGAUAUUCAACAGCAUAGACAACUUUGACCAACAUAAAGCAGAACAUUAGGACUUAGAGAUGUAAGAAACAAAACCUUUUCCCCAUAAAUCUGGUUUAUGUCAAAGAAUAGAAAUUAAUUAGUUCUCUAUAUAAGCGCUCCACCAUUAAAUGCUACACUAACAAUUCUCAAGCAAUUCCAAAACCACAAAGCUAAAACAAGUCAGAAAACAAACCCAUCACUGAAAAUAAAGGCAUAGUCAUAGUUCUUUAUAUCUAAAACAAUUAAGACAGUGAUUCAAAAGAAAAACAAAAUAAACCCUUUAAUCAAAAAACAAGGAAAUCCUCAAAACCCUUCAUAGAAAAGAAUAGUGUGAAGCAGAUUUAACAACCAAAAUCAACUUAAAAGCACGAUCUUGCAGGUGAUUAUCAGAUCAAUCAAACAUCGUGACUACAACGAUCAAACACAGAUCAAUUGGAAUGAAAGAUAUGGGGAAAGUAAGAUCAGAUGUACCUGAUUCGUGGGUGAUUUGAGAUUAAGAGAGAGAUCUGUGAGCUUUGAAAUAAAGCAGAGAGAGAAGCUCAAAGCGUAUGACAAUAUGCGUAGUAAGUAGGAAAUGUGAAGAAUAAUAGCAAGGCCAAAGAAAGAUGCUUAAAUUAAAAUAUGAAAAUUGGUUUUUUUUUUUUUUUCCUUUCUUUUUUACUUUUUUGGGUCCAUUUUCUAUUUUCCAUUAUUCCCUUUCUUCGAAGCUGGUCUCUCAAUUAAAAUAUUAUUUAAUUUUUUUAAUUUAAUGUAUUAUUAUAUUUUUGUUAUAAAUGCAAAUGAUUCAUAUUAUUUUUUAUUAAUUUAAUAAAAAUAAUAUAUUAAUAUAAAAAUUAUUUAAAAUAAUAAUUAAAUAAUUUUUAUUUAUUAGUUUAUAGACAUCCGGGUUUAAAUAAAAUUAUGUUUAAUAUAUGAUUAAUGGAUUAAAUCUUUAUUUUCCCAUACAAAUCAUUAAAAAAUGUUGAUCCAUUUUUCCUUUGGUGAUAAUGAUUGGGUUGUUAACAGGACUCAAUAAUUUUUGUUGCGUUGAAUUUUGUAUAUUUAACUUGUAUGACUCUUUCCCUAUCUUUUCUAUGAGAAGGACUUUUCAGUUGGAUUGAAAAUGAAUCUCUUGUUUUUAUUUUAUAUAUUUUAAAAUAGAGCUAUAACAAGUUGGAUAGAAAAUAAUUUCAAUAGUUUUGAAUAAAGAUUUAAUGCUCUAAAUUAAAUUAUUAGUCAAAUAUUUUUAUUAAAAUUAAAUUAUAAUAAUAGUUCAUUAGGAAGAAUAUCUUAACAAGAUAAUUAUUCAUUAAAUAAUGUUCCUGAAAUUUUGGUUUGUUGAAUAUAUUUGAUCAUUUUCUUUUUGUUUUUAAAGAAUCCAUUUGAAUCCACAUUUCCAAAUUAAAAAAAUAUUUGUUCCUUCAUUUUGUUUAACUCUAUUUUGAAUAAAAAUGAUGAAAUCAAAAUUUAAUUUGAUUAUUUCAUAUUAUAAUUAAAAAAAUCCAAUAAAAAUAUAACUCAAAUCUUAAUAUUAUAAUUUUUUUAUAAAAUUGCAACACAGAAAAUUACAAUUAUAAUUAAAUAUUACAUUUAUAUAAUUAAUUAAAUAAUUGACUAUUACAUUACAAUUAAAUUAUAAUUAUUAAAUAAUCAACUGAUAAACUAGAAUAAUGAUAACAUUCAAAACAUCACAAAAUUUUUUUAAAAAAAAUUUAUUGCUAAACUAAAAUCGUAUUUGCAACACUUAUAUUUUUUUUAUAUUCCGAACUCCGAAACAAAUAAAUAAAAAAUAAGAAUGAUAAACAUUAGUUAGAUGUUAAAAAUUAAAAUGAGCAUUAAAUCUUUGUUUUCAGUAUAUAUAUAUAUAUAUAUGCCAGAAUUGUCUUUAGUGUAUUACUAUAUAUAUAUAUAUAUAUAUAUAUUUUUAACAAAUGAACUAGUAUUAGCCAAUAAAAAAGAAGUAAUAGGCAAAGGCUAAAAUUCUUGAGUCUGGACAUUUCACCAAACCGAGUCCGUCUUUGAAUUUCUGUGGUGAGAGUGAAAUUAACAAUGGCGUCGAAAGCAAGCAGCUCCAUCUUCCAAAGCCUGAAACGCUACAUCAAGAAGCCAUGGGAGAUAACCGGACCCUGCGCCGACCCAGAAUACAAAAACGCUUUGCCAAAAGCGACGGAGUACCGUAUUCGCUGCCCCGCCACCACUUUGCAAAAGCCCAUCGUCCCAACCUCCGAUCCCGAAACUGUCUUCGACAUCAAAUAUUACACCCGCGAUCAACGCCGCAAUCGCCCUCCUAUACGCCGCACCAUCUUGAAGAAAGCUGACGUGGAGAAGAUGAUGAAAGAGAAAACCUUUGAUGUUAAUGAUUUUCCUAGGGUUUACUUGACUGCUAAAGUUGAAGAGGAUGAGAAUGCUGUUGGUGGAGGUUACCAGAAAUAGGUAAGAUUUUGGAACUCCUAUUUCCUUUUCAAUUUGAUGGUUUAUUAGCUAUUUUUUUAUGUUAUUAGCUGAGGGUAUUGUUCUUUUCUCUCUCAUUUUUUUUUAUGAAUUCGAUGAUUUAAAGAUUUGGGUACUGGUUAUUUUCAUGUUUUGAGAUGUGGGUAAUGAUUGGUUUUCCACUAUGUAAUAUGUAUGAUUUGGGCUUUUUACCAACUGGGAUUUAGGUGCAAUUUGAUUGAAGCUUGAUUUGAGUUACUAUAUGAAUUAUGCAGAAGUGAAAGUAUUGGAAUAGAUGACUUCUAAGGUUAUUAGUUGCUUUGUUGAUUUCUAAUUGAUAUAAUGCUUUUUUGGAAUACUUAUUCAAGGCUUUAGAGUUAUGAGUUUAAAUGUAGAUUGGUUUUCUUUUGAUUUGAGUUUGAAGAAGUUAAUUAGGGCCAGGUUGAAAUACCUCUCUCUCUCUCUCCCCGAGUUUUAGGCAAUGUUUCUUGGCAAGAUGGGUGAUACUGCUUUGUUUAAUUUUUAUGAUGUUUGGUUUUUGAUGGGGAUGGGUGGUGCCAGUGGGUUUGAAUUUGAGUGGGAGUGAUUUGGUGUUUAAGAUUUAGGAUGCCUGAGGUAUUCUGAGUGUGAUCUUGAAAGUUUUCCUACUCUAUCAGGCUUAAGGAAGUUUUCUUUUGGGUGGGAUUAGGGUUAUCAUGAGAUUUAGAUGGUGGUAUAUGGAUGCUAAAUUUGAAGGUAAUGUACUAUACUUCUAGGAGAUUUGCAUUUUGUUUUGAUUCAACUAGCCUUGUACAUGGGUUGGCAUGUCUUUGGUGCAUUUUAGUGCAAUAUCUUCAUUUAUCUUAAAAAAAAAAAAAAAAAAGAAAGAAAAAGCAUGAGUCAAGUUUUUACCCUGGGCAUUAGCUCAAGUUGUACGGAGCAGCAUGGGGUGGGAGUAUGGAUGGACCUAAUGUCAAAUCUUAUCAAACUUCGGGGAAAAAGGCCUUACCAUGUGCACCAACUGCUGCAGACGUUAAAUGCCUGUAGUAUUCCCCCAAAAAACUUCCACUGCAAUUGUUUGAAGGCUGUUGUCUUUACCACAUUUUAGGGUAAGACAAUAAGAUUCUUAUACCUGCAUUUGCUGGAAAGUAGGUUGGGUAUUAGUUAUUGAUCUUGGCAAUGGUGAAUCUUUGUUGUGAUAGCCUUGUCAGAUUCUGUGGCCAAUUUUCUUUUCUGAACCUCCUAUGCUAGCAGAAAAUGUUAUAGAUCUGUCUGCAUUUUCUUAGUGUUUACAUUCUAUAGAGAUUGGAUCUAUUAUGUAAAGUGAUCUUUCUCUCUCUCUUGAUUGAAAUGCAAUGUAAAUUGCACUCAAGCAUUUCUAUCAUGGGUGGUGGAGGAUGCAUGUGUAUAUCUUGGAUUUUAUACCAACCAUAUACUAUAAGUGUCAUGACAUUCCUAAUACUUGGUGGCCGCAUUCUUGAAAUUCCUUGGUGGCGUGAUUUUAUACCACUGUUUAUAAAUUGUAAGUAUGGGGUUAUUCAAUAUAUUUAAAUGCGCUACAUUUUAUCACCUGAUUUUCUGAACUUGUUUAUUUAUUAUUUUAUUUCAACUUAAAUUCAUAUUUGACCUAUGAAAAAGGACCCUACGUUUUCUAAGCUUACUGAGGAUAUAGUUGUAAAGAAUAAAUAGAGCAUAAUGAUGCAAUAUUGUCCAUAUAGCUUACCUCAUGUAGUUGGAAAAGGCUUGGUUGUUAUAUUAACCCUUCGCACUAGUAAUCUCAUCGAGCUUGUUUCACAUGCUUCUGUUGUUCCAAGAUGAUAUUAUUGACUUUAAAAAUAUUUCUGGCAUGUGAACAGGCCUCUGAGAACCUGUGGCAAAAUUUAGCGUGCACCAGUUCCCUCUGUUUCACUCUUGCUGGCUUGUCAUGGAACAAAUGCAGGCCAUGUUAGCAAUAGCAAUUUCUUGAGACUCUUGAAGUUAAAGAGGAUGUGGUUUCCAACAUUAAUAAGGAUAGUUGCCUGGAUUUUGUUUAUUUUGUGGGUUUAUUCUGUUAAUCAACAUGUAUUUAUAAAUCCAGAUGCGACUGCAGUUGGGUGAUGGAUGAUUUAAUUGACUUCUUCAAGCUUUUAUGAUUUUCUAAACAUGAUAAUCUGGAGUAAUUUUUAUAACAUCACAAUAGGCCAGAAAAAGCCUCAUAGGAUAGCCCAAUAUUCUCUUGGCCCAAAUGCUGGUCGAUCCAAUGCCGCUAUCAUUUCUGUCAGUUACCUGGUUUGUUUUUUUCUUUCUGUGAACAAAACUUGGGCCUACGAUGGGUUGCGACAAGCUUAAUGCUUCCUUAAUCAACCAUUUUGAGUAAACGAAAAAUAGAUUUUAUAAUUCAUGUAUUUGUGUCAUAUAAAAUAUUAAAAUUUAUGUAUUUAUAUUACGUAAAAUAUUAAAAUUUAUAUAUUUAUAUCGUAUUUUAUACGAAAAUUAUAUAUAAAAUUUUACGUUAAUACGAAAAUAUGAAAUAUAUAUUUGUAUGAUUUUGUUAAACUUAUAUAUAAUUAUUAUUAAAAUUUUAAAUUACAUUAUUUUUGUAUUUUAUUUUUAUAUUGUAUUUAUAUAAUAUAAUUUUAUCUUAUUUUAAUUGUUGUGUUUUAUAUUAUCAGAUCUAUCGAAAAGUGAAAAAAAUAAUAAAUUAAAAAUCGAAAAGUACUAAAAUUGAAUUCAAAGAUUCAAAUUAAUUGCUCAUUUUCUAUAUCAUUUUUAAGCCAUGGAAUUAGAAUACCCUUUUCUUUUUAUUUUGGUACUGAAUACCUUUUUCUUUUUUAGAGUAUAAGUUUAAGUUUCAAUGAAAAAAGCCUAGACGGUUCUUUUUUUAUUAUUAUUAUUUAUUUUUUAAUAAAGGAUGAAGAUUGCGGAUAGAAAAAGAGAUUAUAUUUGACUUCAAACUUUAGGGAUUGCAUUUGAUUUCAAAUAUAUUAAAUAUCAUAAUUUAAAGAUAUAUUAUAUAAAUUAAUUGAAUUAAAAUUUAAAUUUGAUUAUUAUUAUUAUUUAAAAAGCCAAGUUAGUUAUCCUUAACAAGCUGCCAUAAAUUACAAUUAAGACUGCCAUGCUAACUUGAUUAGUGUGAUUAAUUAAAUCUCUAACCACUCAUCCAACUGCACCAUAACACCACCACUACAUGCUAAAUAGCCGUCCUAUUCUACUAAUGCUACAUAUUAUUUUCUACCCUCUCUGCCUUGUUCCUGUAUACAUAAUUACAUGCCUAAUUAAGCUAGGUUUUUACGUGUUUAAUAAUUUCCAAUUUACAGAUUUUUACAUUUACCAUAAUUUUAGUUUCAAAAAUUUUCGGCUUACUUUCAGAUUUCAAAAUAAAUUUUGCAUCAAUUUAUUUCUGCUUCACAUCUUAACAAUGAAUUGAUACAUUUAUAUUUAAAUUAAAAAAAAAAAAGUAGUGAUGGUAACCGUAUAUUCAAUAACUGAAAAUCGUUUAAUAUUAAUUACAUAUCCAUAACUUAUUAAAAAUUUAUUGUAAUUAUUCAUAACCUAACCAAAAUAGUUUAUGAUAUUAGUUAAUUAUCCGAAAUCAUUUAUUUAAUAGAUACUCGAUUAAAAAUUUGACCCGAUUAAAAAAUUCAUCAAUAUUGUAAAAUAAGAUCAACUUUUAUAAUAUAUUUUAAUAUUCAAACAAAAAAUAAAAAUUAAAUCUAAUAAGAAAUAAAAUAACAAAAAAAUUCAAAUCUCUCAAUUUGCAAGGAUUUAAAACUUUUCAAAUAAGUUUCGCUCCGAAACCAAAUGUCUACAAACCAUUUCAUCUAAACCCUCAAAUUUGUAUCCUAUUCAAAAUCAUGUUCAAAUAUAUCCAAACAUAACUAUUUGAACCCGUUUUAUUCGGGUUUAAUGGCUUAAUCGUAUCGAAGAUCCCUAAACACAGGUAAGAAUUUGCAUCUCCGAGUGGAGUUAAUGAAAAUUGAGUUACUGAUCCAACAAAAAGAAAAGAAAAAAAAAAAACAAAGACAAUGAAAUGAAAGAAAAAGCAAAACAAAGUCAUAAAUUAUUUUUUUUUACGCCACAGAAAACUUAAAGUACAUUGAUAUUGGAGAAAUUCGAGAUGCAUUCAUGUUAUUGUUAGUUGCAGUUUGGGUCAAUGGUGAAUGCAGACUGCAGCAUGGUUCUACUUUCACAAAGUAAAAAUAAUGGACCACAAAGGGACACCAAGUUAAUUUUUGCCUCCUUUACAGCCUCUGUAUUCACUAAGAAAUCAUUAAUUACCUUUUUAAAUAAUUAUAUUUGAUAAAUGGUUUGUCUCCUUAGCUUUCAAUGAGUAAAAUGCACUAUGCAAUAUUUUUAUUUUUAUUUAUGUAAAUGGGAUCUUUUAAAUUCAUAUAUUUCAUCAAUUAUCAUUAAAAAAUUUAAUAAAAUAUGUCACCAAAAAAAAAAAAUCACAUAACAUAUAUUCCAACCCAAAAGGUCAAAAAAUUUUAAUUUUUAGGAUGUGCUUAUAACUUUAAUUUUUUUUUUUAAUUUUCCUUAAGAAAAUCCCCCUUUUUUAAAACAACCACCAUUUACAUUCUUUCACAUUUAUUAUUAAAAGUAAAAAAAAAAUCUUUUGAUAUUGGACAUUUCCUCUAAAUAUAUAGCUUUAAUUUUUCCUAAUUAGUUGUUAGAAUAAUUUUGCUAUAAUUAAUCAAUAGUGAGACUUAAUGGAUAACUAUAUUUUGGCAUGCGAUUUUAUUUUUGUUAAGUAAUUAAGCAAUUAUUGCUUGAUAAAAGCAUCUAUAUCACGAUUUAUUUUGUUAUUUUUUUAACCUUUCUACUUACAAUUGAUGUUCAAGUUAUUUAUGGAUUUCAUAUAUUGAUUUUCACAAAAUUUUUUAAUAGUUUUAGGCACACUACUAUCUAGCUUGAAUUAAUGUUACUUAUGUAUUAAGAGUGAAUUAAAUAUCCUAACUAUAGAUCAAUUUUUUUUUGUUAUCUUUAGAUAUAAUAAUUUCAAAUACAAUACGGUGAUACGAUAUAAAAAUGAUAUAAAUAAAAAAUAUAAAAAUAAUACGAUUUAAAAUUUUAAUAAAAAUUAUAAAUAAAUUUGACAAAAUAAAAAUUAUUUUAUAUUUUUAUAUUAACACGAAUUGUAAUAUAUAAUUUUUAUAUAAAAUUUUAAUAUUUUAUAUGAUAGAAAUAUACAAUUAUCAUAGCUAUCAUCUUUGAGAAAUCCACGAAAUUUCAGCUUUGGAAAGUAAGCAACCAACUAUGAGGAAAAAAAAAAAAAAGAGCUGCCCUACGUGUAGUAGUGAUUACAACCUAAUGUCACGCGUGUUCGUGCAUUUUUGUUUUUGUAAAAAAAAAAAAAAUCCGUAGCAUUGAGUAUAUAUAAAGAAAAGUUUUGCAAAAAUUAAAAUUUAAAUAUCAAACUUACAUAUUUGCAUGUAUAUGUAUAAAUAUAAGGAGAGAUCACUUUAUAUAAUGUAAAAUUAAAAAAAAUUAAAUUUUUUUUUAAUUUUUAAUUUUAAUAAAUCUAAGAAUGAGAGAGAUAAGUAAAAUUAAAAAAAAAAUUUAAUAUCAUAUUUGAAUCUAUUAAAAUCAAUAAUUAAAAAUAUGUAAAAUUAAAAAAAAUUUAUAUUGUGCAAGUUAAUCGCUCAUAUAUAUAAAUUUAUAAAGAAGUAAGAUUAAUUUAUAUUAAUGUAAAAUUUUUUAUUUUAUAUGUUUUUCUAACUAUUAAUUUAAACAAAUUCAAAUAAUCAAAAAAAUAAUUUAAUUUCAAUGCUUCAAUCUAUUAAAAUUAACUUUUAAAAAUAUAAAAUUAAAAAUUUUAUUCCGAUAUAAAUUAAUCUCUCCUUAAUCUUUAUAUAUAUAUAUAUAUAUUGAGAUAUAUUGAGAUAAUAUUCAGUCAUGGUUGAAGGGUGCGGUAGUUCACUUUCUGUGCUGCGUACCUUUCGUAUUAUUGACGCAGAGCGCAUUUUUCCACGAGUUUGAUCAUGUCCAGAACCACCCUUUUUCUUUUUUUUUUUGUUCUUCUAGGGUUUGGCGCAGUCGCUUUCGCUGCGAAAUAGGAGAGUAAUUGACUGCAUAAGCAGAAGAGAAAGAGACCUAACAGAAAAAAAAUAAAGUAAACACAAGAAUUGGAUUAGAUGCGCUUCCUAAAUUAGCAAUCCCUAAGAUAAUCCGUCCAUUUGUGAUUUUUAUCUUCAAUAUAUUCAUUGAUGGAUCAUGAUUUUUUUUUAUUUGUUCCUUUAUAAUAAUAAAAAUUAUCGAUGAAUUUAUCGAUUUUAUCAAUAAAAAAAAAGUGUUUAGUGAAAAAUUUUAAAGUGAAUUUAAAUUUUUUUUAUUUCCCAAUUUUUAAAGAUGUUAUAUAUUCCAUAUUUCAUAUUCCAUACAUAUGUUGCUGUGUAUCAGUAGAUAUUAUACAUAUAUAUAUAUAAUAUAUCCAUAUCCACAGUCCAUUAUUCCUCUUACAAUAGGCCAUGGGAAUAUGAAUCUCUCUCUUUCUGUCACUCUUGUCAAUAUUCAAUAACUGGGUUAUGCUGAUGAUAGCUGAGAUCUUAGUGUUGAAAGUGAUACUAGAAGGGGUUUUACAGAUUGUUAAGGUCUCUGCUUUCAAUUCUGACAUUUCUUUCUUCAGUUUUUUUAUUGUUUGUUUUUGCUAUAGCCAUGGCAGCUACUACUUCAUUUUAAUUGUCAGCCAGGCUUUUUCUUUCUAGAUCACCACUAACCAGCAAACAAGAACGACAAAGUUUCCCAAUUAAUGAGGUAACGCAAACUGACACAAAACCAGUAAAAGUUUCAACCAAAUUAGAAACCACAUGUAAAGAUAUUCAUCUAUUACACUUUCAUAACAUCAUGUCUAAAUAAAACAACACUAGCUUUAAAUAAAGGAUGCAUGGCCUCAUUGCUAGUCUACUUUCAAAUUCGUUAAACUCAUUUGAUACCAGGAUUGGGAUCUGGAAGAGGCAUCUAUGAAGCAGUACUCAAGGUCUAUCAAUGGAAGCUAUGGUAUUAAUGGGGUUCUUCCAAUAGGAAAACAAGAAAAAAAGAAGAGAGUACAGCAGUCAGAGGAUGCAGUUUUUGUUGAUCAUAUGAUCAUUAAUAGAAAACCGGAAACAAAAAAUGGAAGUUGGGAAUUUACCAAUCCUCUGAAGAUUUAUAAGAAAAUUUAAUGGAAAAAAAAACAAAGAAAAUUCUAUUUGCUUGUCAGUGUUCAUCUUCCACUUUGAUUUGCAUUUAUACAUUGAUUGAAAUAUUUGAUGUAGUUGAUGAUCAGUCCAUAAAUAAUUAUAUCACAUAUCCACUAGCUAUUUACCGGGCUAAGUAAUUUGCAACCAUCGAUUUUUAUACUGAUACACACACACACUGCUGGGCAGAUUUUAGAAUCUUAUAUUUUGAUCAUUUAACUUUUUUUACAAAACUUGGAUGCAUUAAAUUGAGGAGUUGAGGGAUAUUUAAUUUUUCAACUGUAAUAAUAAGCUUAUAUGCAAUCAAAGUUACCCUUAAAGCAGUUGCUGUUAACAGAUUGAUCAAGUAUAGGAGAUAAAGCAGCUGAAAACUAUAAAAGAAUCAAUCUACUAAUUAUCCAAAAAGAAAAAAACUUAAAGCUGGAGCUAAGUUUUGGUGUGUAUCAAGUACUAACCAUUUAUCUUAGUCAGGUUUAGCAGCAAGUACAAAACGUACUUUAGCCAGUUAGGUAAUUCAUUUUAAUUAGAUGAUAGGUAGCCAAUUAAAGCCACAUUAGCAUAGUAAUAGUAUGUAUUAUUUGAAAAAAAAUUGAUCAAAGGAUUAUUCAUUCUGUUUUUUAACUGUGGUUCCUUCAAGUUCAUAUUUUGAUAACUAGAUAAAUCCUGGAAUCAUUUCAAUGGAACAAAAAAAAAAAAAGUUGGUGUUCUGAAUUAGAUUUAUAAAAAUUGAUAAAACAUGUCACCAAUCAUGGUAGUCUGGUAAAAUACUAAACUUUUAAUUUCACCGAUAGAAUCAAGAAAAAAGAAAUUGAUCAGAAAUUUCUCUGUUAUACAAGCUAUCUUAAUCUCCAAAAAGAAAAUUUAAGGAACCAAAAAAGGUUAAGUUUCAAGCAGAUUGUAAACCAUUAAAAAUUGAAGAAAUUGGAUCAUAUAUAUCCUCCCUUCUAUUUUGGAGAUCAAACACUAAACUAAACCUUCAACUGAUCAUAGUGAGGAGAUUAAAUGGCUGUCUGAAGCACAACAGUCUGUGUCUGAGAUUUGGGACCAUUUUAAUUUGAUAAUUAUGGAGGCACCUUGAAAGAAAAUCAGAGCAGUACUUAAAUCCUUUCUCGUGAUGCCCACCUCUUUUUUUCCUGCAAAGAAAGGGAUAACUCAAAACAAAUUUCUAUUUAUGUAAAUACAAAAUUUGAUAAAAACCCUGGAAAUAAGUAGGCAUGAAAUUAGUAUUAAGUACUUUCCAAUAAAAGUUUGUGCAUGUGAAAUAAUAAUUAAAGAGAGGUAAUUGUCCUUAGGGUUCAUUGUUUUAUGCGUUAUGCCCACUUCUGAUCUCUUUACCAAAAAAUGUUAAAGGCUUUAAAAUCUUAAAAGGGGUAUUGGCUUUGCCUCUGAAUUGACUUGAGAAGUAGUAGAUUGGGUCAUUUUAUUUUGCUGUAUAAAUUCUAUUUGCAUUGUCAAUGAAACAUUGAAUAUUGCAAAGCUGAGGAUAUUGCAACAGGUUCAUAGGGUUCAUCAAAUUGUUGGGUUUUUCCUUAUUUCGAUACAAUAGGGAUAUAAAGUUGAGUUCAGCUUUUCAACUGGUGCAACUGCAAGCUACAUUGAUGACUGGUCUAUUAGUGCUAGUGCUGUAAUUUUGGUGAAGAUCCCAUUUUCUAGAUUGUCAAGGUAACUCAAAAAGUUGCAGUCUCCCUCUCUCUCUCUCUGAUCUGAUCUUUCCCCCCUCACUCCCACAAACAUAUAUCGGACAUACACAUUCUUCUGGGGUCUUCAUGAAUCAUUGUUAUUAUCAUGUUUGGAUGUUGUUUCUUUUCUUUCUUUGUUCGGAUAAAUGUUGAAACCCCUUUUCCCCUUAUAGGUAGAUUGAGAUCAUAAGAGAAAAAAAAUAUAUGAAGAAAAGUAAUUGCAUGAUCUCUAAAUUUCUGGUGUUAGUUUUCACUUCUUCGGGAAGCAUUUUGGAGUCUUAUUCUAACAGUUAAACGACACAAUUUCUCAAAAUGCAGAUACAAACUUUAACUCUUCCUUGUUAGAGGCUGCAUGCAAAUAUUUCUGUGCAUCAAUCUUUUUGGCUUCAUCCUUGUCACAAGAUCAUAUAUACAUAUGCAGGUAUGCAAUGAAUCCAUGAUUCUUCAUUCAUGUAUUCUCUUAAUAAAAGAAUAAUGUUCAUCUUGGUUGCAUAAGGCAAGCACCAAGUUUUUUAGGUUUUUCUCUUCAUUAUCUUCCAAAACUCCAUAUCUAGAAAUGUUAAGGAGCUACAUCACCCAACUUUGAGUUGACAAAUAUCUCUAUAUGUAUGAAUGUAUAUAUAUAUAUAUAUAUAUAUAUAAUUUUAAAGUUGGCAUGUCGUAUUUCAUAUUCACUUAUAAUAUGUCUCAGCCAGAAUUUCAAAAAAAAUAUAUAUAUAUAUGCAUAUAUUCUCUAAUGAGAAAAAGAAAACAUGAAAUCAUUUGCAAACAGAAGUUAAAUUGCGUGAAUUGUGAAUAGAACUUAUAAAUAAAAAAAGUUAAAAUAAAGUCCAACUUGUCUCGUGCAAAUCUCAGUACUGCCAUAGACGUGAGUGGUCCUUGUUUCUACUCAGUGUAGAUGCUUUAAAGAAGCUAUGUUGGUCCCUCCUCUACAAGGGUAGCUAACUAGCCAUUGCUAUCUAUAAUGUAAUCCUGUUAACGAAAUUCUAGCGUUGCAUAUAUACACCACAACUUUGGAAGCCACAGCCACAAUUAUAUCUGAUGAAAUUUCCUUUCCAUAUGAACUUAACUCCAUUUACAAUUCCUUUUCCUCUACAUCAAAGUCUAGCUCAUUUGAAGGAAUAAUUUCCUAUUCUCUACUUAGGCCCAAGACAUUAGGCAUUGUUUUUCACUUUCAUUGCUGAAUGAAAGUUAACUUUUAAUGUAGCGGUAUAUAUGUUGAUAUAAAAGACCAACUAAGGUUAGUUAAGUUAGUAAGAAUAGAAUAUUUAAUUUCUAAGGCUUAGAUUCGAUUCUCCUUAUCCAUAAUUCUUAUUAAAGUCUGCAGCAUAUUUUGGCUCUGAAAUGGUAUAUCCACCCCUCAUUUAAACUUUUUUGUAAAACCAAAACAAAUCCAUGGUAGAAAUUGAAACAACACCCCAAUAUAUAGUAUUAUUGGGUUCAAAUAAAAUGCUUCCUUUAUUUAUUUUCCUUUUUCAACUCAACUAGCUAGGCAUGCAUUAUAUAAAGCUAUUUGUAGUUGCCAAUAAAGCAUAAGCCCUCUUUUUCUAGUAUAUAUUGAAUGGUCCCAUAUUGUAAUGAAGUUAACCUUCUACUUUGUGUGCUAUUCGAAACUUGAAUAAUUUAAAUACAAAGAUGAGCAAAAUACCAAUAAUUAAACUAGUGAUUGUUCAGUAUGUGGUAUGAACAAAUUUAUGAAAGUUACAUCUUUCUCUUCCAAUAUUGAUGUAUCAACGAGCGUCGGAUGCCAGAUGGACGCGGAUAAGCCAUACCUUUUCCUUUUUCCUUACCAUGCAACAUGCUUGCAGUGAAAUUCCAGCAUCUUUUCUUUCCUACAGAUGUGGUUUCUUUUGCUAGCUAGGUUUAUUCUUAGCAGAGUUGUUGUUUUAAGCUUUAACCCUUCCUUGUAUACAGUUCUACUAAGCUGAAGAGAAUACAUAAGGGAGCUUUCGAUCUCCAUUGCAGCGAUCUUUUCCUACUUCUAGUUCCUUAGCCUUGACAGUCAAGAACUAAAUUAGUCUGUUCUGCUGCAAGAUGUGCAACUGUUAAUUUUAUGUAAGUUUAUCGUCCAUCGAUCUGGUCUUUGGCAUAAAAAAUAAAGGAAUAAUGUUUGUCAAACCCUAACCAUUUUCUUAAAAAGUACUCCUUUUUUUUAUUUCUAAAAUCAUCUAAUCUUCUGUUAGAAUUUAUAUUCAUAAAUCAAAUUGAUUUGAUUAACUCAUAUUCCAGUUGUCUCCAGCUUUAAUGUUGUUGCUUUAAAUUCUUUUUGGAGAUUUACUCAAGUUCUAAUUGGAGCUACAGGCUCUAUCCAAAGUACAAUUUCUAUACAAAUUUAGACCUGAUUCCUCUCUUUGAUUGAUCUUUUUUUACUUUUAUUAUAUUAUGCAUUUGAAACCGUAUAUACACACAUAUCUAGAUUGAAAAUAACCAAGUUACUUUGAAAUUUUGUAUAUAGAAACAACCUUCAGUUCUCAGGAAAUACUGUGUAGAUUUGGCUAGCUGUUGAUCUUAUUUUCACAUAUCAUGAAGCAAAGAUUUUCAACUUUUAAUACUAAAACUAGUUGAAAGAAAACAUGAAGAUAGAGCAAUUUACUGUCUAAUACAGGUUAAUUUAUUGCUUGUUUCAGUUGAUAUACCUUUUGAAUGAUGAGAGGAGUAAGAUGAUCUCGAGUUCAAGGGAAAAAGAUCUUCAAACAAAGCAAGAGGGUGAAACCAAUGACGGCAAGGUCUCCAAAGGGCCAUCAAGUUCAAGGCAGUGGUCUGCAGGAUUUAGAAAUCCAAGGAUUGUCAGAGUCUCGCGCUCGUUUGGAGGAAAGGAUAGGCACAGCAAGGUUUGCACAAUAAGGGGAUUAAGGGACCGGCGGAUUAGGCUUUCUGUACCUACUGCAAUUCAGUUGUAUGAUUUACAAGAUAGGCUUGGCCUUAGUCAGCCUAGCAAGGUGGUUGAUUGGUUGCUUGAUAUUACUAAAGAUGAUAUUGAUAAGCUCCCUCCACUUCAGAUGCCUCAGGGAUUUGGUCAGUUCCAUCAGCCAAUGCUAGUUUCUCAUGAAUCAAAUCCCUCCCAAUCUUCCCUUGCUCCUUUCUUCGAUGCAAAUUCUAUGUUCAUGAAGGAUGGAGAAGAUCAAAGCAUAGCAGCAAAAAGAUAUUGGGAUAAUAUGGCUGCUGCACUGAGAGCAAAAAGUAAGGAAGUUGAAAGAGAAAGUACAAAUGCCGCUGCUGAGAAGGGAAAGUGGAUCAGACUAAAUGAACCAGAAAAUCAAGAUGGAAAUAUUGGUGUUUAUACUGGUGGUCAGGCUUUAUCUCAAAAGCUUUUUCCUUUAACCAAUCAUUCGUCAUCACCUGGCUUGUUAAACAAUGCCAUGCCCUUCAAUUCUUAUUGCCAUUGGGAGCCUUCAAGUCUAUCUUUGUCUCAAUUUGGGAACCAUGGAUUUCUUCCCCAAACUGAAAAUUUCCUCAAUGGUAACACUAGUGUGCAAUUGCCAUCUUCAUUGUCUCUUCCAUUGGCACAUGCACCCCAGUUUUUUUUCUGCCCACCAUCGACAAUGCCUUCACUUUUUCCCACAUAUCCUCCAUAUGGUACUGCACCAGGUCCAGGGGACAGUAAUGAUUCCAGGCAAAUGAAUCAUUUCCAAUUAUUGAGCUCAAAUUCCCAACAUGUUCUGCCAAAUUCUGUCACAAUGAGUUCUCCCAUGAAACAUUUCUCUUUAAACGUAAAUGCUGGCCUCACUCUUACACAAAAUGAUGAUGAAAGUCAUGCAGAUGAGGAUAAUACCGAUUCUUGAUAGCUGGUUCAAACUUCAAAAUGAUAUUAAUUUGAUUUCAUGGGCUACGUACAUCAAUAUGGAUUAUCAAAUUUCAUAUGUUUUGCUGAGGCGGAAAAUUUGAAAUCACCAAAUUAGGCAAGAAUUACAAUAAGGGUCAUUACAUUUUGUUUGGAAAUACACCAGGAGAAGAGAGCUGGCAGUGACAGUUAUUUUCAAGUUCUUCAAGUGGGAUGAACUUAUUCUACAUUACAGCAGGUAAGAUGCUACAAUACUUGUGGCUUCUAUAUGCAUAUUAUUAUUAUUAGACAGUUUUUAAUUACGUAGGUGAAAUGAAAGAUAAUUUGUACUAUUAAUGUUUUGCAGUAUGGCAUUGAUUCUUGGGUUUUAGCUUUCUAUAUUUUGCUAUAUAUAUAGAAUCAAUUGUUUCAUUAAUAGUUUUCUUUAGCCUGGAUGCCAUGUUCAGUAACUGCAUCACUGUCAUCAUUCAUGACAAUUAGCAAUCAUACGAGGAAAUGCUCUCCUAUAUAAAUGCAUUAAUUUUCAUGCAAAAUCCAUUUUCCAUCGGGUUUUGGUUAAUUUUAUUUAGCCAUAUAUAUAACAUACAUAUAGAAGUAAUGAUCUUCUCUAUACUCUCCCAUAUAUAUAUAUGUUCUUAUUGUGUAUGUGUGUGUGUGUCAUUUACUAUCACUUUAUUAUAUAUAAUUGCGUCUGUCUAAAUUAAACCACCACAGCUUAUAAUUCAUAUCAACAAAUUUUUUACUCAAAGCACUACCAUGUAUGAUUUACUAGUAGUAGUACAUUCCUAAUCUUCUAUGUUAAAAUAUCUAGUAAUUAAAUAAAAUUUUUAGUAGCUAGCAUAAAUCAUUUCCAAAAAUGUUAAAAAUCAGAUUAAUAUGUUGUAAUAACCUUAAAGUCAUAAAAGAAACACAAAAAGUCUAAAACUAAGUGUUUAGAUGAAAAGUACAUUGACACUUAAGUAAUCUAUAGUGCUUAAGCAUUUGACUAAAUGAUUAUUUGCAGAAGUACAUUUAUAUCCUCUUACUCAGAGAGGUAAAUUUGAAUCCCUCCUCCCCAAAUUAGAAAAAAAAAAAAAAAAAACUUUUACCAGAUAGAAAAAAAAAAGUGAUGUGUGUCUCAAAAAUGAAAUUCGUCGAUAAAAUAAGACUUUUAAUGAUGAAAAUUUUUUCCGUAGUUGAAGACUUGUUCUUUUAUAGUGAUAAGCUAGGGUUUUACUUUGAAUGCAACUAAAGGAUAGGGUACAUUAUUAGUAAGUGUCUUCACAUGAGUUUGAUAGAGCUAAGUUAGCUGAGACUUGGUAGUAUAAGCUUUGGUUACCAGCUAAUUAGUUGGCCUUAAUUUGGGUUAAGUGGUAGAGGGAAAUGAAUACAUUCUACUGUGAGGAAAAUGUACUUUCAAAUGUAAGGCAUGCCCCCUGGGGAUUUAUAUAUUUUGAAAUGUAGACAAAAUAAAUCUUACAAGAUUAACGAUAUAUAAUUAAAGAGACUUCCAUAAUCGAACAUCCCCAAGCAAAUAUGAGAAAUUUGCAGCCAAAUCUUUGUCAUAUAUGCACUGAUCAGGAUAAAAUAUUAAAAUCAUUAACCCCCCAC
This 24271-nucleotide long non-coding RNA is filed under the name Durio zibethinus. RNAcentral describes it as "long non-coding RNA (DZIB_LNC002149)". Lineage: Eukaryota; Viridiplantae; Streptophyta; Magnoliopsida; Malvales; Malvaceae. The record is from RNAcentral.